UUGGACCUACGGGGGGCAGCAGUGGGGAAUAUUGGACAAUGGGGGAAACCCUGAUCCGGCGACGCCGCGUGAGUGAAGAAGUAUUUCGGUAUGUAAAGCUCUAUCAGCAGGGAAGAAAAUGACGGUACCUGACUAAGAAGCCCCGGCUAACUACGUGCCAGCAGCCGCGGUAAUACGUAGGGGGCAAGCGUUAUCCGGAUUUACUGGGUGUAAAGGGAGCGUAGACGGCUGUGCAAGUCUGAAGUGAAAUGCAGGGGCCCAACCCCGGAACUGCUUUGGAAACUGCACAGCUAGAGUGAAGGAGG
Molecule: ribosomal RNA, 305 nt
Filed under: uncultured bacterium
Lineage: Bacteria
Description: bacterial SSU rRNA
Rfam family: Bacterial small subunit ribosomal RNA
Source: RNAcentral